UACGUAGGGUGCGAGCGUUGUCCGGAAUUAUUGGGCGUAAAGGGCUCGUAGGCGGUUUGUCGCGUCGGGAGUGAAAUCCACUGGCUUAACUGGUGGCUUGCUUUCGAUACGGGCAGACUGGAGGUAUGCAGGGGAGAACGGAAUUCCUGGUGUAGCGGUGAAAUGCGCAGAUAUCGGGAAGAACACCCGUGGCGAAGGCGGCACUCUGGGACGGUACUGACGCUGAGACGCGAAAGCGUGGGGAGCGAACAGG
This 253-nucleotide ribosomal RNA is filed under the name uncultured bacterium. RNAcentral describes it as "partial 16S ribosomal RNA". It matches the Rfam family "Bacterial small subunit ribosomal RNA", at positions 524 to 776 of the family's 1533-position model. The record is from RNAcentral.